CCGAACCCACUUCAGUUAAAAAUGGAGGGGAUGAGUUGUGGAUAGGGGUGAAAGGCCAAUCAAACACCGUGAUAGCUGGUUCUCCCCGAAAUGCAUUUAGGUGCAGCGUUGCGUGUUUCUUGCCGGAGGUAGAGCUACUGGAUGGCCGAUGGGCCUUCACGGGUUACUGACGUCAGCUAAACUCCGAAUGCCGGUAA
This 197-nucleotide ribosomal RNA is filed under the name Chaetoceros curvisetus. Its description in RNAcentral is "partial Bacterial large subunit ribosomal RNA". It matches the Rfam family "Bacterial large subunit ribosomal RNA", at positions 774 to 969 of the family's 2925-position model. The record is from RNAcentral. Lineage: Eukaryota; Bacillariophyta; Thalassiosirophyceae; Chaetocerotales; Chaetocerotaceae.